RNAcentral lists this ribosomal RNA (253 nucleotides) under uncultured bacterium. RNAcentral's name for it is "partial 16S ribosomal RNA". It matches the Rfam family "Bacterial small subunit ribosomal RNA", at positions 524 to 776 of the family's 1533-position model. The record is from RNAcentral.
UACGUAGGGGGCGAGCGUUGUCCGGAGUUACUGGGCGUAAAGCGCUUGUAGGCGGUCCACCAAGUUUGGGGUGACAGUUGCCGACUUAAUCGGCAAAGUGCCUCAAAGACUGGCGGACUUGAGGGCCACAGAGGGACAUGGAACUCCAGGUGUAGUGGUGAAAUGCGUAGAUAUCUGGAAGAACACCAAAGGCGAAGGCAGUGUCCUGGGUGGUCGCUGACGCUGAGAGGCGAAAGCCAGGGGAGCGGACGGG